This 514-nucleotide ribosomal RNA is filed under the name Bolitoglossa veracrucis. RNAcentral's name for it is "partial large subunit ribosomal RNA". It matches the Rfam family "Bacterial large subunit ribosomal RNA", at positions 1817 to 2597 of the family's 2925-position model. The record is from RNAcentral. Lineage: Eukaryota; Metazoa; Chordata; Amphibia; Caudata; Plethodontidae.
CGCCUUUUGAAAUAUAAACAUGAAAGGUCCUGCCUGCCCAAUGAAUUAUUUUUAAUGGCCGCGGUAUUAUGACCGUGCAAAGGUAGCGUAAUCAUUUGUCUUUUAAAUAAAGACCAGUAUGAAUGGCAAAACGAAAGCCCUACUGUCUCUCUAACCCAGUCAAUGAAAUUGAUCCCUCCGUGCAGAAGCGGAGAUAGAAGUAUAAGACGAGAAGACCCUGUGGAGCUUUAAUCUUAAGCUAACAGACACAAAUGCUUUAGUAUCCAGUUUUUGGUUGGGGCGACCAUGAGGUACAAAACAACCCUCACGAUUAUAAUUAAGAAAGACACUUCAAACAACUAAUAUAGUAUAUUGACCCAAUAUUUGAUCACGAACCAAGUUACCCCAGGGAUAACAGCGCAAUCCGCUCAAAGAGUCCCUAUCGACGAGCAGGUUUACGACCUCGAUGUUGGAUCAGGACCCCCAAGUAGCGCAACAGUUAUUAAAGGUUCGUUUGUUCAACGAUUAAAGUCCU